GUGAACGCUGGCGGCAGGCCUAACACAUGCAAGUCGCACGGCAGCACAAGAGAGCUUGCUCUCUGGGUGGCGAGUGGCGGACGGGUGAGGAAUGCAUCGGAAUCUGCCCAUUUGUGGGGGAUAACCUCGGGAAACCGGGACUAAUACCGCAUACGACCUACGGGUGAAAGCAGGGGAUCUUCGGACCUUGCGCAGAUGGAUGAGCCGAUGCCGGAUUAGCUAGUUGGAGGGGUAAAGGCCCACCAAGGCGACGAUCCGUAGCUGGUCUGAGAGGAUGAUCAGCCACACUGGGACUGAGACACGGCCCAGACUCCUACGGGAGGCAGCAGUGGGGAAUAUUGGACAAUGGGCGCAAGCCUGAUCCAGCCAUGCCGCGUGUGUGAAGAAGGCCUUCGGGUUGUAAAGCACUUUUGUUGGGAAAGAAAAGCAGCCGGUUAAUACCCGGUUGUCAUGACGGUACCCAAAGAAUAAGCACCGGCUAACUUCGUG
Molecule: ribosomal RNA, 489 nt
Filed under: uncultured bacterium
Lineage: Bacteria
Description: partial 16S ribosomal RNA
Rfam family: Bacterial small subunit ribosomal RNA
Source: RNAcentral